AAUCCCGCGGCCGAUACCGGGCGCCGGGAAAUGUGGUGUUAGGGAGGAUCCGUUUAUCCCGAGGUCGUGCGGUGCGUCCAAGUCCUUCUUGAACGGGGCCACAGCCCAUAGAGGGUGCCAGGCCCGUAGCGACCGCUGCCGAUCGCGGGAGGAUCUCUCCUCAGAGUCGGGUUGCUUGAGAGUGCAGCCCUAAGUGGGUGGUAAACUCCAUCUAAGGCUAAAUAUGACCACGAGACCGAUAGCGAACAAGUACCGUGAGGGAAAGUUGAAAAGCACUUUGAAGAGAGAGUUCAAGAGUACGUGAAACCGUUCAGGGGUAAACCUGAGAACCCGAAAGGUCGAAAGGGGAAAUUCAUUCGCGUCUCGACAGUCGAAGCGGAGUGGUCGCGUGACGGACGGCGUACGCGUCGUCCGCGCCUUCGGUUUCGCCGAUCGACGUCGAACGCGUGCACUUUUCCCCUAGUAGGACGUCGCGAUCCGUUGAGCGUCGGUCUAAGGCCUCCGGUGGAGCCCGAACGUACGUCUUCGGACGUCUCGCGUUCGGACCCGGAGAGUCCCGGCCGACUCGCUCGACGGUAUACAGAUGGCGCGAGGCCGCUUCUUUUAGCGUCCGGCUCGCGGCAAGCGCGUUCGGUGUUAAGAUGGCGAUCGGACCUGGUGCCGGUCCCGUCCCCGGACGGCUGUUGGCCGCGGUGUUCUCGGACAGACCUCGUCGCGCGCGUCGGAUUCGUCCGACGUGCGUUUCGCCGAUCUGCGACGCUAUAGCUUUGGGUACUUUCAGGACCCGUCUUGAAACACGGACCAAGGAGUCUAGCAUGUGCGCGAGUCAUUGGGACAUAAUUAAACCUAAAGGCGUAAUGAAAGUGAAGGUUCGCCUCGCGCGAACCGAGGGAGGAUGGACGACGUCGGUACGCAAGUACGGCCGUUCCGCACUCCCGGGGCGUCUCGUUCUCAUCGCCAGAAGAGGCGCACCAAGAGCGUACACGCUGGGACCC
Molecule: ribosomal RNA, 995 nt
Filed under: Hippopsis sp. IBE JGZ-3685
Lineage: Eukaryota; Metazoa; Arthropoda; Insecta; Coleoptera; Cerambycidae
Description: partial large subunit ribosomal RNA
Rfam family: Eukaryotic large subunit ribosomal RNA
Source: RNAcentral